UCCCCUCCGCACCCGCGCAGCGACCUCCUCCUGACCGUCCUUACCUGCCUCGUACCUGCUCAGGUACCUUCUCCUAUAUCCUGGGUACCUUUCCUGGGACAUGCUCAGGUACCUUCUCCUGAUCUUCGGCUCCUGCCCUGAUACUUCCGCGCCGGUACCUCCCUGCACCUCCUGGCACCUGCCCUGGAACCUCUCCACAGCCACGGUCCGCGCCCUGCCGUGCCCCGCCAAUGCAGCUGCGGUGCCGGCAGUGCCGGGGGCAGAUCUGGAUGAGCACACCGUGUAAAUUGUUGCUGACUGAUGAAGCUGUCAUUACCACCCCAUCCUCAGACCCCUAACACCCUCUGUUUGACCAACAGAACCAGGAGAGCACAUCAGGGUUUUUACAAAAUGACUUUCCUCGAUGGUCUGUCAGUCAUUCCAGCCUUUCAAAGUGCUGAAAUGCUGCCCUGGGUGGCCCAAUCAGCCUAAAAGUGACAUCAACUAUUCUCAGGCAAUUUUGGUUUUGUGGUGCCUGUUAUGUGUGAAUUUCAAAGCACUUGUGCGAGAAAUUUAAGCUGAUCAAAACUGAGCAGUCAAUCCAAAGGAGAGCAAAAGACUGACUUGCACAAAUUCCCACCUCAGGUUUCUGCCUGUUCCUGGUCCAUGACUUCCCUUUCGGAUCCCACCAGAAUGUUCCAGUGAUGUGGUUCCACCCCCUGCCUUCCGAGAGGAGGUGAAGCACAAGCAGAGGCUGCCCAAAAAGGCAGCAGGAAUUCCUUCCUUGAAGAGCUUCAGAACUUCACAAGGCACUGAACAACUUGAACAACUUUGACCUCAGUCCUGCUCCAAAGAGGAGAGGAGACCAAAGGCUCCACAGGGCCUUUCCAAUCUGAACCAUACUUGAGCCUGUCUUUCUUCACUGGGGCCAGCAGCAUUUCUGGAAAAUAUAAGAUGAAAACCAGUACAAAUGCCAGACUUGACUAUUUCUGGCAAAUGUGAGAGUCUUAUGAAAGCCUAUAAUGAGCAUCUGUCACCAUGGCAAGAAAGACACAAAAUCCUUCAAAACAGAAGUGGCCAGUUCUGAUCUCACUUAGUACAAAUCAUUGUAAAUCAAAUUUCAUGAGUGAGUUUAAAACAGCAAGACAAUCAGAAGUAAAUAAACAAAAGUUCAGAAUUUUAAAUGCAAUUUGAAAGCAACAGCUCCAAGUAGUGAACAUAAACUCCAUACUCUGGUGAGUUGCAGAUCUGUUGUGGUUAUCAGCAGCCACCCUGCGGAGCUCCCCUCGGUAUCUUUCUUCAGCCUCCAGGAUGACCCUGUGGUGCUCACACCUAUGCAGGCAACUCUGCAACAUCUUGGUGAAGGUUUUGCUGUUCAAGGACAGUCCUCCUGCUGUACAACCUGGGAAAAACAAGAUAUUGCAGAAAUAGCAAUCACAGCUUCUAAAGGAGCCACCACAAAGUUCAGGGUUUUAUUUUGCUCACUAGGAUCAAUUUGACUUCAGGUUUUCCAUACUCAUGUCAUUUCUAUGUACCUUCUUAAAAUACUUUGUAUUUGCUCUCUUAAAAAAAUUGUUUUCAACAUUUUAUGGGACUAAGUUAUACUGCACUUCCACUCCAGAAGUACUGAGUGAGGCACAGAUCCUCUACAGAACUACAAAUAUUGGUGGGAUGGGAAGACAGAGGCUUCAGUUCCAUUUGCACAUUUAUCCAGGAGCCAAUAUAUAUAUAUUAUGUACUAUAUAUAUUUUUAUUAACUUUGUGUUGUAACAGUUACCUGUAUUAAUCUGAAUCAAUGGUAAAUCUAGUUUAGGCAUGAAUGGUCUCACAGCAAGCCUUGCUGUUCAUUUUUGAGGACAUUCCCUAGGGUAAUUUGUGGUUUAGAUAUCCUUGGAUGCUCUCAUGGUUAAGUUACAUCAGCUGAAGGAGAACUUGUGUGAGGAAUCGCAGGAAGGGCACAAGUCCAUAUCUGUAACGUUCUGCCUUAAGAUAAAGCAGUGCUAAAGCUCAGCUUUAAUUUUGUUUGACAACUCAGAUAAAAACAAUGUUCAAACGUGGGUUACGGGCUGCUUUAGGGGUUCUUUUGUUUUCUGUGGGUUUUAGUUUUGUUGGAAGUUUUUAAAUAAAGACACAUUGGCUUGAUUACAAAAUCCACUCACAAAUCCAGAGUACCAGCAGUAUUCUCAUAACUUACUGAUGGAGCAGGCUGAGGAAGUAGAGCCUGGGGUAAUGGAGGGCUGUAGUCGUGGAUUAGCAUGAAACUGCCUGCCUGUACUUCACAGCAGUGAGGGAAAGAGAAGGGCUGCAGAAUGCUGAGGAAGUUUAGCAGGCAAAUAAAUGAGGGAAAUGAGCAGGACUAUGUGUUCUUCCUCCCUCUCUGAAAGCAGAGAAAGGAGGAAAACACCUGCUCAAGUAUUCUUCUGAUUAUCCUUCUAAUUAAUUCAAGUUACUGUAUGUUCUGUUUGUCAGCAAACCCACAUUAUUACAUGGACCAAAACAGCAAUUUUUCAGCUUAAUUUCAAUAUUUCAAUAUUCAUCUUUUAUAUUAGAGGUAGAAAAAAGAAGGGAAAGGGAAAGGGCUCAGGUUUUGUUAUUAUGUAAGAGGUAAUGGAAGAGAUGUGUUACAAUUUCUGUCAAGUCAAUCCACUUACUUCACUGCUGACUCUUUAAGGCUUUUUUAUGUACACUGGAAAGAAAGAUCUAAGAUAGUAUUUACCUAAACACCUUAAAUCUGCCAUUUUAUGGGAUGAAAAUAUAGCUGAAGUACUUUUGACUCUCUCAGUUUUCUCUGAGCAGAAUGAAUGUUGACCUAAACGAGGGAGGAAAAAAGUCACUAAGAAAUAUAACCUAUCUUUUGCCAUGGUAAUCAUGUAUCAGCAUAACUACAUUCAACUGCAUUUUCUAUUUGUAAAUUAUUAAAGUAUAAUUAACAUAACAGCAGAAAUCCAAAUGAAAUUUCUCAAGUUAAAUGCGUCACAUUCACAUUUCUGUAAUUCCAGAAUAACCGUGUUCCUUUCAAUGUUUUUUCAUCACUCUCCCAAAGGAUAUGAUUUCAACUUGUACAUAGCAAAUGAACCCGGUAAACCCAUAUUGCUUAACUGAGUCCUAUCUAGUUUAUUUUUGUUUGGAAUCAAGUGUUGAAAAAUGUAAUAUAUAGGAGUAAUAGAUAUUCUCAGUUUAAACAGGUGUAACCUGGAGAUCAGCUGGUCACCUGUAAAGCUUCCAUUCUGGCAAAUUCUAAUCUAAUGAAUACUUAACAAUUUUAUAAAUUAACAGGAAAGUAAACAAUUAAUAAAGAUUUGAUUGAACUGAUCCCAGUUCUGAAAUAAAUGUAUCAGACCGAGAUUAAUGCAAAUCUGAAAAACUUUUCUCUUAAACACAUGUUCAUCAUGUAGGAACAGCAUCAGGCAAAAGUCACUCUCACAGGCAGGUUCUAUCCCAGCUUUACAGGCACAGGACCAAACCUCCAUUUUCUAACAGUGGCUUUCACUGGUCAGUACAGAUUAAACACUAAACUUAAUCUCUGAUACAUUCAUUUGUAUAGUUAAAAUCAGUUUAAAAAAACAAAGCUAAAAUACGCAUUAAAAGAAAAGUAGGAUAAAUGUUCUCCUGGUAAAAUUGUGUACAAUAUAAAAUUCCAACACUAUGCAAACUAGUUGAAGGAUAUUACACAUAAGGCACCUCUGUCAUCUAAUGAUACAUAACAAGUGAUAAAAAGUAGUGAUAAACGUACAUAAAACUAAUUAAAAUCUCAUUAAGAACAAAAUAAGCUCAGAAAGGAAUAUGUGUAGGUAUUUGUACCUGAUGUGCAUGUCUGUUUCAUAUUUCUAACAGUCUCUGCUGGUUGUUUAAAUAACUGUUCACUGGGAAGAUCAAAAUGUAAACAAAUUAAAAACAAUAAAACAAUAAAAACAAUGUACAUUUA
This is a long non-coding RNA of Motacilla alba alba, 3904 nucleotides long. RefSeq lists it as uncharacterized. Lineage: Eukaryota; Metazoa; Chordata; Aves; Passeriformes; Motacillidae. The transcript is spliced from 3 exons. The record is from RefSeq and is a predicted model, not a curated record.